AAAAUAUUAUAUAAUCCCCCCAUGGAUCUAUUAUCUAAUUUUGUUUCAUCUGUAUCUCUCUUUCACUCCUCACCUCAUCACUGGAUCAUUUUUAAACAAAUCCCAGACAUUGUGUCUGUAUUAGUUUCCUAGGGCCGUCGUAACAAACUAUCACAAACAGAGUGUCUUAGAACAACCAGAAGUUUAUUCUCUCACAACCAGGAGGCCAAAAAUCUGAAAUCAAGGUUUUGAUGGGUUGGUUCUUCUGGAGGCCUUGAAGGAAAACCUGUUCCAUUCCACUCUCCUGGCUUCCUGUGAUAUUGACCAUCCUCAGUGUUUCUUGGCUUGUGGCUGCAUCUCUCCAAUCUCUGCCUCCAUCCACAUGGGCUUCUUCCCUGUGUGUGUCUGUGUGUUUCUCUGUGUCCUCUCCUUUGUUUUUAAUAAGGACACCAGUCGUUGGAUUUACAGCCCACCCUAAACCCAGGAUGAUUUCAUCUUGAGAUCCUUAAUUACAUCAGAAAAUAUCCUAUUUCCAAAGAGGAUCACAUUCUGAGGUUUCAGAUGGGGGCUCUAAGACUCAGAGAGAUGAAGAGACUUUCCCACAAAACUACUACGCGGCAGUUCCAGGAUUUGUAUCCGUUGUCGAACCCCAAAGUCCAGGUUCCUUUCACGAUCCAGGGCUCUGUCAACAGCGGUACCUUCAGCUCAGGCUUUCAUUGGGUCAUAAUGGGCUACUAUAGUUCUCCGAUGGGGGUUUUGAACAUAUCACCUGCUUUUUGAAAUUAAACAUUAUCUCUAACAUUUUUUCCUUCUUUCCUUCACUCAUUCACUUAUUCACUCAUGAAAUAUUUAUUAAACAUAUGUCAUGUGCCAGGUAAAAGAAGUGUGGUUCCUUCCCUUGAGGAUCUCAGAGUUCAGCAAAGGUAUAACCCUGAUGUUUACAGCAAAGACAUAGCUGUUAUAACAAGGAAUGUAUUCCGGAUGUCCUGGUGUGGGGAAAAGCAAGAGAGAUCAGAUUGUUACUGUGUCUGUGUGGAAAGAGGUAGACAUAGGAGACUCCAUUUUGUUCUGUACUAAGACAAAUUCUUCUGCCCUGAGAUGCUGUUAAUCUGUAACCUUACCCCCAACCCCGUGCUCUCUGAAACAUGUGCUGUGUCAACUCACGGUUAAAUGGAUUAAGGGCAGUGCAAGAUGUGCUUUGUUAAACAGAUGCUUGAAGGCAGCAUGCUCGUUAA
RNAcentral lists this long non-coding RNA (1214 nucleotides) under Homo sapiens (human). RNAcentral describes it as "HSALNT0351497". Lineage: Eukaryota; Metazoa; Chordata; Mammalia; Primates; Hominidae. The record is from RNAcentral.